CAAUAGCGUAUACUAAAGUUGUUGCGAUUAAAAAGCUCGUAGUUGGAUCUCAGGCAUGGGCGCACGGUCCGCCUCGCGGCGGUCACUGUGUGUUUUGUUUCCCAUCCUACGCUUCCCGGUUAUCAGCCCAUGGUGCUCUUCCCUGAGCGUUUUGGGUGGCCGGAACGUUUACUUUGAAGAAAUUAGAGUGUUCAAAGCAGGCACGUCGCCUGAAUAAUGGUGCAUGGAAUAAUGGAAUAGGACCUCGGUUCUAUUUUGCUGGUUUUCGGAACACGAGGUAAUGAUUAAGAGGGACAGACGGGGGCAUCCGUAUUGCGGUGUUAGAGGUGAAAUUCUUGGAUCAUCGCAAGACGAACAACUGCGAAAGCAUUUGCCAAGCAUGUUUUCAUUAG
RNAcentral lists this ribosomal RNA (392 nucleotides) under uncultured eukaryote. RNAcentral's name for it is "partial 18S ribosomal RNA". It matches the Rfam family "Eukaryotic small subunit ribosomal RNA", at positions 592 to 976 of the family's 1831-position model. The record is from RNAcentral.